GAUGAACGCUGGCGGCGUGCCUAAUACAUGCAAGUCGAGCGAACGGACGAGAAGCUUGCUUCUCUGAUGUUAGCGGCGGACGGGUGAGUAACACGUGGCUAACCUACCUAUAAGACUGGGAUAACUUCGGGAAACCGGAGCUAAUACCGGAUGACAUUUUGAACCGCAUGGUUCAAAAGUGAAAGACGGUCUUGCUGUCACUUAUAGAUGGAUCCGCGCUGCAUUAGCUAGUUGGUAAGGUAACGGCUUACCAAGGCAACGAUGCAUAGCCGACCUGAGAGGGUGAUCGGCCACACUGGAACUGAGACACGGUCCAGACUCCUACGGGAGGCAGCAGUAGGGAAUAUUCGGCAAUGGGCGAAAGCCUGACCGAGCAACGCCGCGUGAGUGAUGAAGGUCUUCGGAUCGUAAAACCCUGUUGUUAGGAAAGAACACAUGUAGGAGAAACCGUGCACAUCAUGACGGUACCUAAUCAGAAAGCCACGGCUAACUUCGUG
Molecule: ribosomal RNA, 497 nt
Filed under: uncultured bacterium
Lineage: Bacteria
Description: partial 16S ribosomal RNA
Rfam family: Bacterial small subunit ribosomal RNA
Source: RNAcentral